CACAGCCAAGGGAACGGGCUUGGCGGAAUCGGCGGGGAAAGAAGACCCUGUUGAGCUUGACUCUAGUCGAACGUCGAGGAACAGCACGGACGAACGUAGCAUAGGUGGAGGCUCCGGCCGAACCUGAAAUACCACCGUCUCCGUCGUUGUUCUUCUCAUUUGGUGGUGUAGGGAUGGGGCGAAGCCCCUUUUUCUGGAGACGGCCGCGACGCGCGCCCGUCCGGGCUCCGUCGCUCGCGCGAGCGAGCGGCGGGGUCCGGCAGGCCUCCGCCCGCGGCGCCUAAUCCGAAGACGUCGUUCGGUGGGGAGUUUGGCUGGGGCGGCACAUCCGUUAAAAGGCAACGCGGGUGUCCAAAGGGGAGCUCGGCGAGAAGGGAAAUCUCGCGUCGAACGAAAGGGUAAAAGCUCCCUUGAUUCCGAUCUUCAGUACUGAUACG
Molecule: ribosomal RNA, 437 nt
Filed under: uncultured eukaryote
Lineage: Eukaryota
Description: eukaryotic LSU rRNA
Rfam family: Eukaryotic large subunit ribosomal RNA
Source: RNAcentral